GAGUUUGAUCGUGGCUCAGAUUGAACGCUGGCGGCAUGCCUUACACAUGCAAGUCGAACGGCAGCAUGAUCUAGCUUGCUAGAUUGAUGGCGAGUGGCGAACGGGUGAGUAAUACAUCGGAACGUGCCCUGUAGUGGGGGAUAACUAGUCGAAAGAUUAGCUAAUACCGCAUACGACCUGAGGGUGAAAGUGGGGGGACCGCAAGGCCUCAUGCUAUAGGAGCGGCCGAUGUCUGAUUAGCUAGUUGGUGGGGUAAAGGCCCACCAAGGCGACGAUCAGUAGCUGGUCUGAGAGGACGAUCAGCCACACUGGGACUGAGACACGGCCCAGACUCCUACGGGAGGCAGCAGUGGGGAAUUUUGGACAAUGGGCGAAAGCCUGAUCCAGCAAUGCCGCGUGUGUGAAGAAGGCCUCGG
This 416-nucleotide ribosomal RNA is filed under the name uncultured microorganism. RNAcentral's name for it is "bacterial SSU rRNA". It matches the Rfam family "Bacterial small subunit ribosomal RNA", at positions 9 to 420 of the family's 1533-position model. The record is from RNAcentral.